Molecule: ribosomal RNA, 1685 nt
Filed under: Salmonella enterica subsp. enterica serovar Enteritidis
Lineage: Bacteria; Pseudomonadati; Pseudomonadota; Gammaproteobacteria; Enterobacterales; Enterobacteriaceae
Description: bacterial SSU rRNA
Rfam family: Bacterial small subunit ribosomal RNA
Source: RNAcentral
CAAACAGGAUUAGAUACCCUGGUAGUCCACGCCGUAAACGAUGUCUACUUGGAGGUUGUGCCCUUGAGGCGUGGCUUCCGGAGCUAACGCGUUAAGUAGACCGCCCGGGAGUACGGCCGCAAGGUUAAAACUCAAAUGAAUUGACGGGGGCCCGCACAAGCGGUGGAGCAUGUGGUUUAAUUCGAUGCAACGCGAAGAACCUUACCUGGUCUUGACAUCCACAGAAGAAUCCAGAGCGGACGGGUGAGUAAUGUCUGGGAAACUGCCUGAUGGAGGGGGAUAACUACUGGAAACGGUGGCUAAUACCGCAUAACGUCGCAAGACCAAAGAGGGGGACCUUCGGGCCUCUUGCCAUCAGAUGUGCCCAGAUGGGAUUAGCUUGUUGGUGAGGUAACGGCUCACCAAGGCGACGAUCCCUAGCUGGUCUGAGAGGAUGACCAGCCACACUGGAACUGAGACACGGUCCAGACUCCUACGGGAGGCAGCAGUGGGGAAUAUUGCACAAUGGGCGCAAGCCUGAUGCAGCCAUGCCGCGUGUAUGAAGAAGGCCUUCGGGUUGUAAAGUACUUUCAGCGGGGAGGAAGGUGUUGUGGUUAAUAACCGCAGCAAUUGACGUUACCCGCAGAAGAAGCACCGGCUAACUCCGUGCCAGCAGCCGCGGUAAUACGGAGGGUGCAAGCGUUAAUCGGAAUUACUGGGCGUAAAGCGCACGCAGGCGGUCUGUCAAGUCGGAUGUGAAAUCCCCGGGCUCAACCUGGGAACUGCAUUCGAAACUGGCAGGCUUGAGUCUUGUAGAGGGGGGUAGAAUUCCAGGUGUAGCGGUGAAAUGCGUAGAGAUCUGGAGGAAUACCGGUGGCGAAGGCGGCCCCCUGGACAAAGACUGACGCUCAGGUGCGAAAGCGUGGGGAGCAAACAGGAUUAGAUACCCUGGUAGUCCACGCCGUAAACGAUGUCUACUUGGAGGUUGUGCCCUUGAGGCGUGGCUUCCGGAGCUAACGCGUUAAGUAGACCGCCUGGGGAGUACGGCCGCAAGGUUAAAACUCAAAUGAAUUGACGGGGGCCCGCACAAGCGGUGGAGCAUGUGGUUUAAUUCGAUGCAACGCGAAGAACCUUACCUGGUCUUGACAUCCACAGAAGAAUCCAGAGAUGGAUUUGUGCCUUCGGGAACUGUGAGACAGGUGCUGCAUGGCUGUCGUCAGCUCGUGUUGUGAAAUGUUGGGUUAAGUCCCGCAACGAGCGCAACCCUUAUCCUUUGUUGCCAGCGGUUAGGCCGGGAACUCAAAGGAGACUGCCAGUGAUAAACUGGAGGAAGGUGGGGAUGACGUCAAGUCAUCAUGGCCCUUACGACCAGGGCUACACACGUGCUACAAUGGCGCAUACAAAGAGAAGCGACCUCGCGAGAGCAAGCGGACCUCAUAAAGUGCGUCGUAGUCCGGAUUGGAGUCUGCAACUCGACUCCAUGAAGUCGGAAUCGCUAGUAAUCGUGGAUCAGAAUGCCACGGUGAAUACGUUCCCGGGCCUUGUACACACCGCCCGUCACACCAUGGGAGUGGGUUGCAAAAGAAGUAGGUAGCUUAACCUUCGGGAGGGCGCUUACCACUUUGUGAUUCAUGACUGGGGUGAAGUCGUAACAAGGUAACCGUAGGGGAACCUGCGGUUGGAUCACCUCCUUACCUUAAAGAAGC